Molecule: long non-coding RNA, 371 nt
Filed under: Mus spicilegus (steppe mouse)
Lineage: Eukaryota; Metazoa; Chordata; Mammalia; Rodentia; Muridae
Description: lncRNA (ENSMSIG00000001815.1)
Source: RNAcentral
CAGCAAAUGAGCACAUGGAUGAGAGUAACCCCAGGAUGAGAUCUCAGUGGUCACAGGAAGUAUCUCUACAGUCUUCAUUGUCUUGGCUGCAAGGACUCUGUUUAACACUUGCUGGUGACUUCCUCAUAGCUGCUGGAGCCCAAUGUUUAAGGUCUUCUCGAGGAGAUCACUUCCUGCCUAAUUCAGCUGAACUCCCAGCCAACUGGAACUCGACUUUGAGUUCUCAGCAGCUCAGCUGUUCAAAGACAGAUGGCUUAGGACUCAAAGAGGAAGGACACCCACAGCGGUCAAGGCCAGGAGACAUCCAAAGGAAAGGACAACAUGGAAGUAAGUGCCAAGACUGUUCUUUAUGCAAAGAAGAUACGCCAUAA